AACAUCUCAAAUCUCUCUUCGCUUGCGUCGAGAGAAUUGGAUUUGAGCGAUCCCGACUCCUUCGUCAGAAAGAGGAGGGUCGCUUGAAAUGCAGGUACCAGCUGGACAUUCUUCUGAGCUAAAAGCAUAUCUAUUUAGUCCCGUCAAACGGAUUAUUACUUUUGCUUCAGCUAAUAUAAAGGUCGAAUGAACUACCAACGCUGAUUGCAGGAAAACUUGUUCGUUUAUUCGGACUUGUAA
RNAcentral lists this unclassified non-coding RNA (240 nucleotides) under Gryganskiella fimbricystis. RNAcentral's name for it is "partial internal transcribed spacer 2". Lineage: Eukaryota; Fungi; Mortierellomycota; Mortierellomycetes; Mortierellales; Mortierellaceae. RNAcentral also lists the same sequence under 1 other name. The record is from RNAcentral.